Molecule: ribosomal RNA, 694 nt
Filed under: uncultured bacterium
Lineage: Bacteria
Description: bacterial SSU rRNA
Rfam family: Bacterial small subunit ribosomal RNA
Source: RNAcentral
CUGCCCAAAAGAGGGGGAUAACACUUGGAAACAGGUGCUAAUACCGCAUAACCAUAGUUACCGCAUGGUAACUAUGUAAAAGGUGGCUAUACUACCGCUUUUGGAUGGGCCCGCGGCGCAUUAGCUAGUUGGUAGGGUAAAGGCUUACCAAGGCAAUGAUGCGUAGCCGAAUUGAGAGGUUGAUCGGCCACAUUGGGACUGAGACACGGCCCAAACUCCUACGGGAGGCAGCAGUAGGGAAUCUUCCACAAUGGGCGAAAGCCUGAUGGAGCAACGCCGCGUGGGUGAAGAAGGUCUUCGGAUCGUAAAACCCUGUUGUUAGAGAAGAAAGUGCGUGAGAGUAACUGUUCACAUUUCGACGGUAUCUAACCAGAAAGCCACGGCUAACUACGUGCCAGCAGCCGCGGUAAUACGUAGGUGGCAAGCGUUAUCCGGAUUUAUUGGGCGUAAAGGGAACGCAGGCGGUCUUUUAAGUCUGAUGUGAAAGCCUUCGGCUUAACCGGAGUAGUGCAUUGGAAACUGGGAGACUUGAGUGCAGAAGAGGAGAGUGGAACUCCAUGUGUAGCGGUGAAAUGCGUAGAUAUAUGGAAGAACACCAGUGGCGAAAGCGGCUCUCUGGUCUGUAACUGACGCUGAGGUUCGAAAGCGUGGGUAGCAAACAGGAUUAGAUACCCUGGUAGUCCACGCCGUAAGC